This is a long non-coding RNA of Mauremys mutica (yellowpond turtle), 355 nucleotides long. RefSeq lists it as uncharacterized. The record is from RefSeq and is a predicted model, not a curated record. Lineage: Eukaryota; Metazoa; Chordata; Testudines; Geoemydidae. The transcript has 3 exons.
GCCAAAUUCUGUGCUGCAUUACUCUAAUAAAGUAAAUGGAGUUAUUCCUGCAGAGAAUUUAGCCAGUCCCUUAGUCAAAUGGAAUUGAUGACUGUCUCCUAGCUUGGAAGAAAGGAAACAUGGCAGAAAUUAUUUCAAGGGAAAGACCUUCGUGAUGAGAAAAAUGCAGAAUGACAUUCCGGAAUUAAGGGAAGACGAAAGCUUCAUGACCCUACAAUGAUAUAUGCUGCUAGAAACUCGGCUGAAACCAUCACUGCUUUCACAAAUGCUGCUAAAAAGCUGCUGGAAACUUACUGCAAAUUUACAACCUGCCUGGACCAAGAUGGGAACAGUUCCAGGCACACCAUUAUCCUGA